RNAcentral lists this ribosomal RNA (254 nucleotides) under uncultured bacterium. Its description in RNAcentral is "partial 16S ribosomal RNA". It matches the Rfam family "Bacterial small subunit ribosomal RNA", at positions 524 to 776 of the family's 1533-position model. The record is from RNAcentral.
CACGUAGGGUGCGAGCGUUGUCCGGAAUUAUUGGGCGUAAAGAGCUCGUAGGCGGUGUGUCGCGUCGGCCGUGAAAACCUGCAGCUUAACUGUGGGCUUGCGGUCGAUACGGGCAUCACUGGAGUUCGGCAGGGGAGACUGGAAUUCCUGGUGUAGCGGUGAAAUGCGCAGAUAUCAGGAGGAACACCGGUGGCGAAGGCGGGUCUCUGGGCCGUAACUGACGCUGAGGAGCGAAAGCAUGGGGAGCGAACAGG